This 73-nucleotide transfer RNA is filed under the name Asanoa ishikariensis. RNAcentral describes it as "tRNA_Arg_TCG". It matches the Rfam family "tRNA". Rfam says of the family: Transfer RNA (tRNA) molecules are approximately 80 nucleotides in length. Their secondary structure includes four short double-helical elements and three loops (D, anti-codon, and T loops). Further hydrogen bonds mediate the characteristic L-shaped molecular structure. tRNAs have two regions of fundamental functional importance: the anti-codon, which is responsible for specific mRNA codon recognition, and the 3' end, to which the tRNAs corresponding amino acid is attached (by aminoacyl-tRNA synthetases). tRNAs cope with the degeneracy of the genetic code in two manners: having more than one tRNA (with a specific anti-codon) for a particular amino acid; and 'wobble' base-pairing, i.e. permitting non-standard base-pairing at the 3rd anti-codon position. Lineage: Bacteria; Bacillati; Actinomycetota; Actinomycetes; Micromonosporales; Micromonosporaceae. The record is from RNAcentral.
GCCCUCGUAGCUCAGGGGAUAGAGCAGCGGCCCUCGGAGCCGUGGUCGGGUGUUCGAAUCACUCCCGAGGGCG